GAUCAUGGCUCAGGAUUAACGCUGGCGGCGUGCCUAAUACAUGCAAGUCGAAUGGUAGCAAUACCAUGGCGAACGGGUGAGUAACACGUAGGUAACCUGUCUUUAAGCCGAGGAUAACCAUUGGAAACGAUGGAUAAUACUGGAUAGGACAUUUGAAGGCAUCUUUGAAUGUUUAAAGAUUUAUCACUUAGAGAGGGGCCUGCGGCGCAUUAGCUAGUUGGUGAGGUGAAGGCUUACCAGGGCGAUGAUGCGUAGCCGGACUGAGAGGUUGAACGGCCACAAUGGAACUGAGAACGGUCCAUACUCCUACGGGAGGCAGCAGUAGGGAAUUUUCGGCAAUGGGCGGAAGCCUGAACCCGAGCAACGCCGCGUGAACGAAGAAGUAUUUCGGUAUGUAAAGUUCUUUUAUUAGGGACGAAAAGACAGAUUGACGGUACCUAAUGAAUAAGCUCCGGCUAACUACGUGCCAGCAGCGGC
RNAcentral lists this ribosomal RNA (477 nucleotides) under uncultured bacterium. RNAcentral's name for it is "bacterial SSU rRNA". It matches the Rfam family "Bacterial small subunit ribosomal RNA", at positions 15 to 518 of the family's 1533-position model. The record is from RNAcentral.